GUGGGGAAUAUUCCGCAAUGGAUGAAAGUCUGACGGAGCAACGCCGCGUGAGUGAUGAAGGUUUUCGGACUGUAAAGCUCUGUUGUUUAGGACGAAAGUGCCUGUUGCAAACAGUUACAGGUAUUGACGGUACUAAACGAGGAAGCCACGGCUAACUACGUGCCAGCAGCCGCGGUAAUACGUAGGUGGCAAGCGUUGUCCGGAAUUAUUGGGCGUAAAGAGCAUGUAGGCGGGAAUCUAAGUCUGUUGUGAAAAUGCGGGGCUCAACCCCGUAUUGCGAUGGAAACUGGGUUUCUUGAGUGCAGGAGAGGAAAGGGGAAUUCCCAGUGUAGCGGUGAAAUGCGUAGAUAUUGGGAGGAACACCAGUGGCGAAGGCGCCUUUCUGGACUGUGUCUGACGCUGAGAUGCGAAAGCCAGGGUAGCGAACGGGAUUAGAAACCCCAGUAGUCC
This 450-nucleotide ribosomal RNA is filed under the name uncultured bacterium. Its description in RNAcentral is "partial 16S ribosomal RNA". It matches the Rfam family "Bacterial small subunit ribosomal RNA", at positions 354 to 796 of the family's 1533-position model. The record is from RNAcentral.